RNAcentral lists this ribosomal RNA (253 nucleotides) under uncultured bacterium. Its description in RNAcentral is "partial 16S ribosomal RNA". It matches the Rfam family "Bacterial small subunit ribosomal RNA", at positions 524 to 776 of the family's 1533-position model. The record is from RNAcentral.
UACGUAGGGGGCAAGCGUUGUCCGGAUUUAUUGGGCGUAAAGAGCGUGUAGGCGGCUGGGUAGGUCCGUUGUGAAAACUCGAGGCUCAACCUCGAGACGCCGAUGGAAACCCUCCAGCUAGAGUCCGGAAGAGGAGAGUGGAAUUCCUGGUGUAGCGGUGAAAUGCGCAGAUAUCAGGAGGAACACCGAUGGCGAAGGCAGGUCUCUGGGCCGCAACUGACGCUGAGGAGCGAAAGCAUGGGGAGCGAACAGG